AGAGAGGUUGUGGAUGCCCCGUCCCUGGAGGUGUUUAGGGCCAGAUUGGAUGCGGCCCUGGGUAGCCUGGUCUAGCAUUAAAUGGGGAGCUUGGUGACCCUGCAUGUGGCAGGGGUUUGGAGAUUCAUGAUCCUCGAGGUUCCUUCCAACCCUGGCCAUUCUGUGAUUCUGUGACAUGAAGAAGAACAUAAAAAUACAAGUAGGCUCUCUUUUUAGAAUCAAAAUUUGCACAGAUCCAUGUAUUUAUGCAGCCCUAAGAACACAUGACCAAACUGAGAUGCAGUGGCUCACAAGAUCACAUACAUAGACUUGGCUGAGCAGACUUAAGCAGCAGGCAGACAGCAAGCACCAGUUACAGUGGAACAGUAAGUAGAAGCCUGAACAAGCUGUGCAGACUCAUAGGCCUCAUAUCCUCUGAUCUUCUCAGAUCCAAGAGGUGCAGACAAUAUAGGAACUGCUAAAGACCAUCCUGCACACUGACAUCAUAGCAUGGGAGUCACAAUAGAGAGCUUUGGCUGCCCCAGUUCAUAGCAGCAGCCCAGAAACCCCAGGUUCAUUUGCUACUGCACGUGACAGCACAGAAACAUGAAACAGUAAAAGCUGAAUAUCAGCUCAUUGUUAGAAACAGCCCAGACACUUCCUUAUACUCGUUUAUUUAAACAUUUGGUAAGAGGUAGAAACCAAAGAAAAUGAGGAGCAGAGAGUUCUGAAGCCAAGCAACUGAUCCCACGUUUCAGCAAAAGGAUGUCAGUGCUGCAGGAACACAGGCUGGUAGCCUCUUUGCUCUUGAUUGCCAUCUUGGGCAGCGUUGCUGAAUGCACCUUCCAGCAAGCCUGUCUCAGCCCAGUGCACUGCAGAGAAACAGAUGUGAAAGAUGAAGUCUAUGGGCCAGGCUCAUUCGUGAGUAACGCCACAGAGUUCAACGCAUUCCUCAGAAACACCUUUGGCCCACCGUGCCUGAGACUAAAGCAGACUAUCUUGUGGGAUUUCCUGCAGAUGCACAGAAGUUGGAUUCAUCUGCUCUCUGAAAUCUGAUCUUCCUUUCAAGGAAAGAUCUGUUGCAUCUCACCUUUUGCAUGUUCUGUCAAAGACUCACUGCAGUAAAUGCCAGAUCUUCAUUCAGCUGUUAAGGUAGCAUGCAACUUAGGAAGAAAUCACUAUGGCUGGAAUCUGCUUGGCUGAAGACAGCGUCAGUGAGACCAUGGACACAUAGACCAACAGGAGCAGCUACAGGCUCAAUCACAAACAGUAGAAGCACAGGACAAAUAGUACAGGCCUCGCACUGAACAUCCCUAAACUCAGUGCUGUGCACUCCUUGCGCUUUUUUUCCCAGAGCAAAAAUGCUUCACCGGGAAAGUCUCCAAAGCCAAAGAGGAGAGGCCCAGAGGGAGGGAAAAGCAAGAGGCCCUGAGGACAGCCACGGAAAAAUGCUUCUGACUGUGCUAGGUGACAGCCAAAUAAACAGCAAACACCCAUCUCUCUUGAUGACA
RNAcentral lists this long non-coding RNA (1490 nucleotides) under Phasianus colchicus (ring-necked pheasant). RNAcentral describes it as "lncRNA (ENSPCLG00000009759.1)". The record is from RNAcentral. Lineage: Eukaryota; Metazoa; Chordata; Aves; Galliformes; Phasianidae.